GAAUUCGAUUAACGCGAAGAACCUUACCCAGGCUUGAACAGCGAGUGACCACUCACGAAAGUGAGCUUCCGCAAGGACACUCGUAGAGGUGCUGCAUGGCUGUCGUCAGCUCGUGUCGUGAGAUGUUGGGUUAAGUCCCGCAACGAGCGCAACCCUUGUUUGCUGUUGCCAUCAGGUUAUGCUGGGCACUCUGCAAAGACUGCCGGUGAUAAACCGGAGGAAGGUGGGGAUGACGUCAAGUCAGCAUGGCCUUUAUGUCUGGGGCUACACACGUGCUACAAUGGCCGGUACAAACCGUCGCAAAACCGCAAGGUGGAGCUAAUCGGAGAAAGCCGGUCUCAGUUCGGAUAGCAGGCUGCAACUCGCCUGCUUGAAGUUGGAAUCGCUAGUAAUCGCGGAUCAGCACGCCGCGGUGAAUACGUUCCCGGGCCUUGUCACACCGAAUCACUA
Molecule: ribosomal RNA, 450 nt
Filed under: uncultured soil bacterium
Lineage: Bacteria
Description: bacterial SSU rRNA
Rfam family: Bacterial small subunit ribosomal RNA
Source: RNAcentral